AAGUCGUAACAAGGUUUCCGUAGGUGAACCUGCGGAAGGAUCAUUACAAAAUACGUGGACACCAACGUGCCCCUCAUCGUCUGUAUUCACUCUGAGUACCUUUCCCGUUGCUUCUGUGGGGUAUGGCGAUUUGCGUACGUCGCAUUUCCCUCCCUGGGAUGUUUGCAAAAUUUCCCAGGAGAGACCCUGUGGGAGGGAAGCACUGAACCCCUUUGCAUACCGAUAGUGUUCAGUCCGAGCUUGUUUUUGAAGAAACAUUAAAACUUUCAGCAACGGAUCUCUUGGUUCUCGCAUCGAUGAAGAACGCAGCGAAAUGCGAAAAGUAGUGUGAAUUGCAGAAUUCAGUGAAUCAUCGAAUCUUUGAACGCACAUUGCGCCUUGCAGUAUUCUGCGAGGCAUGCCUGUCCAAGCGUCAUGUGAAAAACGUUCAAGCCCCUGGCUUGGUCAUGGAGGAUGAGCACACCACACCGUCGGUGGGUUUUCACUUCUGAAAUUGAAUGGCGGAUUACCGUGAGCUGCCUUGAGCGUCGUAUGUGCCUGACACUCUCGCCUUGGUGGCCGGUGAAGUCCUGNCCACCAACCCCCACAACAUCUUGGGUUGACUUUGGAUCAGGUAGGGAUACCCGCUGAACUUAAGCAUAUCAAUAAGCGGAGGAAAAGAAACCAACAGGGAUUGCCUUAGUAACUGCGAGUGAAGCGNCAAAAGCUCAAAUUUGAANUCUGGCGUUUUGGAACGUCCGACUUGUAAUUUGGAGAGGCAUCUUUGGAGAUGGCGUUGUCCCAAGUUCCUUGGAACAGGACGUCGUAGAGGGUGAGAAUCCCGUACGCGGACUGCUGUCCAUCUCCGUUUCUGGAUGUGAUCGACGAGUCGAGUUGUUUGGGAAUGCAGCUCAAAAUGGGUGGUAAAUGUCAUCCAAAGCUAAAUAUUGGCGAGAGACCGAUAGCGCACAAGUAGAGUGAUCGAAAGAUGAAAAGCACUUUGAAAAGAGAGUCAAAAAGUACGUGAAAUUGCUGAAAGGGAAGCGCUUGAGAUCAGGCACGACUCUUUGAUAUCUUCCUGGGCUUUUGGCCGGGUAAACGAUAUCUUGGAUUCGAGCCAGCAUCGGUUUUUGCGGUGGGAUAAAAGGUUGGGGAAUGUAGCUUCCUUUGGGGAGUGUUAGAGCCCUGGCCAGAAUGCCACCAGUGAGGACCGAGGACCGCGCUUCGGCUAGGAUGCUGGCGUAAUGGUCUUAAGCGACCCGUCUUGAAACAC
This 1252-nucleotide ribosomal RNA is filed under the name uncultured fungus. Its description in RNAcentral is "eukaryotic LSU rRNA". The stretch from base 600 to 1252 matches the Rfam family "Eukaryotic large subunit ribosomal RNA", at positions 1 to 662 of the family's 3401-position model. Lineage: Eukaryota; Fungi. The record is from RNAcentral.